RNAcentral lists this unclassified non-coding RNA (410 nucleotides) under soil metagenome. RNAcentral describes it as "partial contains 5.8S ribosomal RNA, internal transcribed spacer 2, and large subunit ribosomal RNA". The stretch from base 1 to 120 matches the Rfam family "5.8S ribosomal RNA", at positions 35 to 154 of the family's 154-position model. The record is from RNAcentral.
GAUGAAGAACGUAGCAAAAUGCGAUACGUAGUGUGAAUUGCAGAGGUAUGUGAAUCAUCGAAUCUUUGAACGCAAAUUGCACUCUCUGGUAUUCCGGGGAGUAUGCCUGUUUGAGGGUCGCUUAACAAACCAUCGAUUUCGUUGCUUUUUUUUAAAAAGGUGAUGUUUAUCGGAUUUGAGCCGUCUUUUUUUUUUUAUAUUUAAAGUGGCUUAAAAUUGAUUUUUCUUGGUAUGAUCGAAGCGUAUUUUAUGAUCAAUUUUUGGUUAAAGAAACGCAUACGUACCAUUAUUUAUAUGAUGUAAUACGUUUGACUAUUGGAUUUAGUUCAUUCGUAUACGAUAUUUUCAAUAUUUGACCUCAAAUCAGGUAAGAACACCCGCUGAACUUAAGCAUAUCAAUAAGCGGAGGA